GAGGCAAUGGCUGAGUGGUGCUGAUGGUGGUGGCUAAGUGGUGUUUAUGACAGCGGUGGUCAGGUGGUGAUUGAGAUGGUGGUAGCAUAGUAGUGGUAAGGUGGUGAUGGUACUAUUGAUGGUAGUGGCCAAGUGGUGAUGAUGGUGGCAGCUGUGGCUAAGUGGUGGUAGGGUGGCAAUAGUGGUUGUGGUGACAAUGGUGGUCAAGUGCUAGUAGUGGAAGCAGGGAAUGGGUGUGGGUGGUAGUGGAAAUGGCCGAAUGAUGGUGGUGACG
This 274-nucleotide unclassified non-coding RNA is filed under the name Hevea brasiliensis (rubber tree). The record is from RNAcentral. Lineage: Eukaryota; Viridiplantae; Streptophyta; Magnoliopsida; Malpighiales; Euphorbiaceae.